Molecule: non-coding RNA, 23 nt
Filed under: Cricetulus griseus (Chinese hamster)
Lineage: Eukaryota; Metazoa; Chordata; Mammalia; Rodentia; Cricetidae
Source: RNAcentral
UAACUAAGAGAAUUUUGAAUUUC